UGGCUUAUAUAUGUGCUAAGCUAGUGUGGUGGUUAGAGUUUUCAUGUUGUGGUCCAAUAAUUGAGUUCUUCCACUGUAGUGUUGGAAGUUGGUGGGCUGAGAUUAUAUGAUAGGCUAUUGAUUAAGGAUGUUGGAAUGAAUUUGUUGAUUAUAUGUUUAAUAAGUGUUUCUAGUCAGUUAUGAUUUGAACUUUUUAUUAUUGUAAUGAACUGGGAUGGUAGGAGCUGGUGUUGAAGUUGAAACCCUUAAAAAUAUUUUUUUUUUAAAUCGUAGUUGCAGGACAUGAGUUUUUAGAACUGAACUCUUUAGAUGCUUUCUGAUAAUUGGUUUUCAUGCUUCCCUUUCUGCUGGUUGAGGAAUGUUUCAAGUGAGCUUCUUCGGGGAGAUUUGAAUGUUGUUAUGUUAUUGUUUUGGAAUUAUUUAUUCAUUUGAGGAAAAUUUGGUGGGGCAUUUUUUUUGUUAUAUGAGUUGAUCUAACCGAGAUGAUGAUGUUGUAGGUCAGAUUUCAAGUGGAUUUGUGGAUUUUGAAGUUUUUGUUGACUUUGUAAUAAUUUACAGGCUGAUGUGGGGAAACUUUGGUUGGUUUCAGCAAAAAAAAAAACUUUGGUUAGUUUCCGUUCAUGUUCAGCCUCUGUGUUAAUUUAAAAUUUGUUAAUCAUAUCAAUUUAUGAAUAUACGGUGAGGGUGGGGUGUGUCUGAUUUUUCCAGUGGUGGUGUCAUCGGUUUUUAUUAGAUCAUUGUCAGUGAAUGUGAAGUUGUCGAGCUAUGUGUAAACCGUAAUACCAUAUGGCCAUACGCAGAAGUUUAAAUUUAAUUUGCUAUGAGGACAGUGUAUUUAUGAUAACAUAACUAAUUGUUUGUUUAUUUUUGUAGUCAAAGAUUCGUAAAAACAUUUGAAAAAUGUUAAGAAA
Molecule: long non-coding RNA, 911 nt
Filed under: Brassica napus (rape)
Lineage: Eukaryota; Viridiplantae; Streptophyta; Magnoliopsida; Brassicales; Brassicaceae
Description: long non-coding RNA (BNAP_LNC026865)
Source: RNAcentral